RNAcentral lists this ribosomal RNA (432 nucleotides) under uncultured bacterium. Its description in RNAcentral is "SSU rRNA". It matches the Rfam family "Bacterial small subunit ribosomal RNA", at positions 26 to 518 of the family's 1533-position model. The record is from RNAcentral.
AGAAUGAACGCUAGCGAUAUGCUUAACACAUGCAAGUUGAACGUUGUUUUCGAGUCAAAAUGAAAACAAAGUGGCGAACGGGUGCGUAACACGUGGGAAUCUGCCAAACAGUUUGGGCCAAAUCCUGAAUGAAUGAAAGCCAAAAAGCGCUGUUUGAUGAGCCCACGUAGUAUUAGGUAGUUGGUUAGGUAAAAGCUGACCAAGCCUACGAUGCUUAGCUGGUCUUUUCGGAUGAUCAGCCACACUGGGACUGAGACACGGCCCAGACUCCUACGGGAGGCAGCAGUGGGGAAUCUUGGACAAUGGGCGAAAGCCUGACGCAGCAACGCCGCGUGAGGGACGAAGGCCUUCUGGGUUGUAAACCUCUUUCAGCAGGGACGAUGAUGACGGUACCUGCAGAAGACGCCCCGGCAACUACGUGCCAGCAGCCGC